GACGAACGCUGGCGGCGUGCCUAAUACAUGCAAGUAGAACGCACAGGAUGCACCGUAGUUUACUACACCGUAUUCUGUGAGUUGCGAACGGGUGAGUAACGCGUAGGUAACCUGCCUGGUAGCGGGGGAUAACUAUUGGAAACGAUAGCUAAUACCGCAUAAGAACAUUUACUGCAUGGUAGAUGUUUAAAAGGUGCAAAUGCAUCACUACCAGAUGGACCUGCGUUGUAUUAGCUAGUAGGUGAGGUAACGGCUCACCUAGGCGACGAUACAUAGCCGACCUGAGAGGGUGAUCGGCCACACUGGGACUGAGACACGGCCCAGACUCCUACGGGAGGCAGCAGUAGGGAAUCUUCGGCAAUGGGGGGGACCCUGACCGAGCAACGCCGCGUGAGUGAAGAAGGUUUUCGGAUCGUAAAGCUCUGUUGUUAAGGAAGAACGAGUGUGAGAAUGGAAAGUUCAUACUGUGACGGUACUUAACCAGAAAGGGACGGCUAACUAC
RNAcentral lists this ribosomal RNA (502 nucleotides) under Streptococcus intermedius. Its description in RNAcentral is "bacterial SSU rRNA". It matches the Rfam family "Bacterial small subunit ribosomal RNA", at positions 28 to 504 of the family's 1533-position model. The record is from RNAcentral. Lineage: Bacteria; Bacillati; Bacillota; Bacilli; Lactobacillales; Streptococcaceae.